This 676-nucleotide ribosomal RNA is filed under the name uncultured bacterium. RNAcentral describes it as "bacterial SSU rRNA". It matches the Rfam family "Bacterial small subunit ribosomal RNA", at positions 8 to 677 of the family's 1533-position model. The record is from RNAcentral.
AGAGUUUGAUCCUGGCUCAGGAUGAACGCUAGCGGCAGGCCUAACACAUGCAAGUCGAACGGUAACAGAUCUCGCUUGCGAGAUGCUGACGAGUGGCGCACGGGUGCGUAACGCGUAUGCAAUCUACCUUUAACUGAGGAAUAGCCCAGAGAAAUUUGGAUUAAUACCUCAUAGUAUUAUUUAUAGGCAUCUAUUUAUAAUUAAAACUCCGGUGGUUAAAGAUGAGCAUGCGUCCUAUUAGCUAGUUGGUAAGGUAAAAGCUUACCAAGGCUACGAUAGGUAGGGGGCCUGAGAGGGUGACCCCCCACACUGGUACUGAGACACGGACCAGACUCCUACGGGAGGCAGCAGUGAGGAAUAUUGCGCAAUGGAGGAAACUCUGACGCAGCCAUGCCGCGUGCAGGAUGAAUGCCCUAUGGGUUGUAAACUGCUUUUCUGCAAGAAGAAACCUUAGUACGUGUACUAAGCUGACGGUAUUGCAGGAAUAAGCACCGGCUAACUCCGUGCCAGCAGCCGCGGUAAUACGGAGGGUGCAAGCGUUAUCCGGAUUUAUUGGGUUUAAAGGGUCCGCAGGCGGAACUUUAAGUCAGUGGUGAAAGCCUACAGCUUAACUGUAGAACUGCCAUUGAUACUGAAGUUCUUGAGUGUGGUUGAAGUGGGCGGAAUAUGUCAUGUA